This 1722-nucleotide ribosomal RNA is filed under the name Campylobacter coli. Its description in RNAcentral is "bacterial LSU rRNA". It matches the Rfam family "Bacterial large subunit ribosomal RNA", at positions 1222 to 2925 of the family's 2925-position model. The record is from RNAcentral. Lineage: Bacteria; Pseudomonadati; Campylobacterota; Epsilonproteobacteria; Campylobacterales; Campylobacteraceae.
CAAGUGGUAGGAGAGCGUUCUAUUUGCGUCGAAGGUAUACCGGUAAGGAGUGCUGGAGCGAAUAGAAGUGAGCAUGCAGGCAUGAGUAGCGAUAAUUAAUGUGAGAAUCAUUAACGCCGUAAACCCAAGGUUUCCUACGCGAUGCUCGUCAUCGUAGGGUUAGUCGGGUCCUAAGUCGAGUCCGAAAGGGGUAGACGAUGGCAAAUUGGUUAAUAUUCCAAUACCAACAUUAGUGUGCGAUGGAAGGACGCUUAGGGCUAAGGGGGCUAGCGGAUGGAAGUGCUAGUCUAAGGUCGUAGGAGGUUAUACAGGCAAAUCCGUAUAACAAUACUCCGAGAACUGAAAGGCUUUUUGAAGUCUUCGGAUGGAUAGAAGAACCCCUGAUGCCAUCGAGCCAAGAAAAGUUUCUAAGUUUAGCUAAUGUUGCCCGUACCGUAAACCGACACAGGUGGGUGGGAUGAGUAUUCUAAGGCGCGUGGAAGAACUCUCUUUAAGGAACUCUGCAAAAUAGCACCGUAUCUUCGGUAUAAGGUGUGGUUCGCUUCGUAUUAGGAUUUACUCCGAAAGCGAAGAAACUUACAACAAAGAGUCCCUCCCGACUGUUUACCAAAAACACAGCACUCUGCUAACUCGUAAGAGGAUGUAUAGGGUGUGACGCCUGCCCGGUGCUCGAAGGUUAAUUGAUGGGGUUAGCAUUAGCGAAGCUCUUGAUCGAAGCCCGAGUAAACGGCGGCCGUAACUAUAACGGUCCUAAGGUAGCGAAAUUCCUUGUCGGUUAAAUACCGACCUGCAUGAAUGGCGUAACGAGAUGGGAGCUGUCUCAAAGAGGGAUCCAGUGAAAUUGUAGUGGAGGUGAAAAUUCCUCCUACCCGCGGCAAGACGGAGAGACCCCGUGGACCUUUACUACAGCUUGACACUGCUAUUUGGAUAAGAAUGUGCAGGAUAGGUGGGAGGCUUUGAGUAUAUGACGCCAGUUGUAUAUGAGCCAUUGUUGAGAUACCACUCUUUCUUAUUUGGGUAGCUAACCAGCUUGAGUUAUCCUCAAGUGGGACAAUGUCUGGUGGGUAGUUUGACUGGGGCGGUCGCCUCCCAAAUAAUAACGGAGGCUUACAAAGGUUGGCUCAGAACGGUUGGAAAUCGUUCGUAGAGUAUAAAGGUAUAAGCCAGCUUAACUGCAAGACAUACAAGUCAAGCAGAGACGAAAGUCGGUCUUAGUGAUCCGGUGGUUCUGUGUGGAAGGGCCAUCGCUCAAAGGAUAAAAGGUACCCCGGGGAUAACAGGCUGAUCUCCCCCAAGAGCUCACAUCGACGGGGAGGUUUGGCACCUCGAUGUCGGCUCAUCGCAUCCUGGGGCUGGAGCAGGUCCCAAGGGUAUGGCUGUUCGCCAUUUAAAGCGGUACGCGAGCUGGGUUCAGAACGUCGUGAGACAGUUCGGUCCCUAUCUGCCGUGGGCGUAAGAAGAUUGAAGAGAUUUGACCCUAGUACGAGAGGACCGGGUUGAACAAACCACUGGUGUAGCUGUUGUUCUGCCAAGAGCAUCGCAGCGUAGCUAAGUUUGGAAAGGAUAAACGCUGAAAGCAUCUAAGCGUGAAGCCAACUCUAAGAUGAAUCUUCUCUAAGCUCUCUAGAAGACUACUAGUUUGAUAGGCUGGGUGUGUAAUGGAUGAAAGUCCUUUAGCUGACCAGUACUAAUAGAGCGUUUGGCUUAUCUUUAAUAAAGCAU